RNAcentral lists this ribosomal RNA (301 nucleotides) under uncultured bacterium. RNAcentral describes it as "partial 16S ribosomal RNA". It matches the Rfam family "Bacterial small subunit ribosomal RNA", at positions 509 to 809 of the family's 1533-position model. The record is from RNAcentral.
CAGUCGCCGCGGGAAUACGAACCGUGCGAACGUUAUUCGGAAUCACUGGGCUUAAAGCGCGUGUAGGCGGGCCGCCACGUCGGCUGCUGAAAUCCCCCGGCUCAACCGGGGAACGGGCACCGAUACGAGCGGCCUGGAGGGGGGUAGGGGGGACUGGAACUUCCGGUGGAGCGGUGAAAUGCGUUGAGAUCGGAAGGAACGCCCGUGGCGAAAGCGAGUCCCUGGACGUCUACUGACGCUGAGACGCGAAAGCUAGGGGAGCGAACGGGAUUAGAUCCCCCGUAGUCCCUGUCUCUUAUAU